UACGUAGGGGGCAAGCGUUGUCCGGAUUUAUUGGGCGUAAAGAGCGUGUAGGCGGCCAACUAAGUCAGACGUGAAAUCCCUCAGCUUAACUGGGGAACUGCGUCUGAUACUGGAUGGCUUGGAUCCGGGAGAGGGAUGCGGAAUUCCAGGUGUAGCGGUGAAAUGCGUAGAUAUCUGGAGGAACACCGGUGGCGAAGGCGGCAUCCUGGACCGGUAUUGACGCUGAGGAGCGAAAGCCAGGGGAGCAAACGGG
Molecule: ribosomal RNA, 253 nt
Filed under: uncultured bacterium
Lineage: Bacteria
Description: partial 16S ribosomal RNA
Rfam family: Bacterial small subunit ribosomal RNA
Source: RNAcentral